Long non-coding RNA from Chroicocephalus ridibundus (black-headed gull), 1379 nucleotides. RefSeq lists it as uncharacterized. The record is from RefSeq and is a predicted model, not a curated record. Lineage: Eukaryota; Metazoa; Chordata; Aves; Charadriiformes; Laridae. The transcript is spliced from 3 exons.
GCUGACAACUGUCUCCAUAAAGCAUUCCUGCAAUUUCCAUAGCCAUCCUGGGGGCAAGGUCAUACAGAUAGAUGUGACAGGAGAGACGUGGCAUUUAACAGUCUGGGAAGCAAUGCCGCAGGAUUACAGGGAAACUCUCCGAGAACCCUGCUUUACCUGUGCUAUCUUACUGGAGGAGACUGGAGUAUCUGUCUGUAUCUGAAAGGACCACUGUCAUCAGCCAGGUUGCUAGACAUCCUAUACAGCCUUAAUAAAUAGUUGGUCCUGUGUCCUGUCUGAAGAGCAACGAGAGCUGCAGACAACUGUGGUUAUCACCGCCAUAAAAAGACCCUGCUUCACCUUGCUUUCUGCUGCGACUUUCCACUGCGAGCAAACCAUGCACAAGUACCGCAGAUGCUGCAUCUGAGUCCACCCAGUUUAGCGGUCUUUGUGCCAGAGCUCUUGGCGUCAUGUCAGCCCAAGAGGAAUUGGCUGUGCCUGCAAGCCUCUUCACAGAUAAAGAACCUGCUUUGCCAUUGCUGCUGUUAAUACAGGGGUAUUUGGGAGUUUCAUUCUGUUCUCAAAAAAGCUGAUUUUACAUGCCAAAGCACAACAGUCAAGAACAGGCAUGGAAAAUAGUAAAAGAAACUUAAUCACUGUCUGUUGCAGUUUUUCAUUCUAGGUUUAGCUAUUAGAGCACCCAGCUGCAAUGUGAACUGUUGGUGUAUACAGUUUUAGUAUUAAAAAAAAAUGGCCAUAUCGCAAAGCCUGAGGUUUCUAAUGAAUAUUUGAAUUCGUAGCUUUUCCCUGAAUUCAUGGCACAUAGAACAAAGCAGGCUGACCACUGGUGGUGGUGUUGACCACUGGUGUAAGCUAAGCACAGAGCUACCCAUGUAGAGGGAACCAUAAACUCCACCUUGGAAUAUUUCUUUCAGAGCACUUCCUUAGCAGGCUAACACCCAUUUAAACUUGAAUUAAUGGUUCUUCAGCCAGAAUAAAAAGCCAGCUUUAAUGAACAGGGCCAAAAAAGAAGUGUCUCUCAAAGUUUCUCCCAGAAAACAUUUCUGUUUUCAGCUAGCUGUAGCACUCAAGGGUAAAAAAAAAUCUGCCAGAACAUGAACAUACCAACCUUCCAUUUUACUUUUGCACAGAUUACCAGAAGGUAAGGAUGAAAUAAUUUCUGCUUGUUCUGCUUGUAUAAAUUUUGUCAUUAUAUGCUAACUACUGCAGCACACCAUUUUAAAACACUCCUAAACAAAGUGAGAGGUUUUUUUAAGAACAGUAGAGGCCCCAGGAAUACUACACAGGCAGCCCAGCAGGUCCCCAGCUGUAGAGGAGGUGCAGGCUGGACUUAUUGCCGGUGGGGCACCGUGCAGACCUGUGAACCCGUCAGACCAGGA